ACGGGAGGCAGCAGUGGGGAAUAUUGGGCAAUGGGUGAAAGCCUGACCCAGCAAUGCCGCGUGAAGGAAGAAGGUCUUCGGAUUGUAAACUUCUUUUAUGAGGGACGAAGGAAUUGACGGUACCUCAUGGAUAAGCCACGGCUAACUACGUGCUAGCAGCCGCGGUAAUACGUAGGUGGCAAGCGUUAUCCGAAUUUACUGGGUGUAAAGGGCGCGCAGGCGGGGAAGCAAGUCAGAUGUGAAAUCUAUGGGCUUAACUCAUAAACUGCAUUUGAAACUGUUUCUCUUGAGUGCUGGAGAGGUAGAUGGAAUUCCUAGUGUAGCGGUGAAAUGCGUAGAUAUUAGGAAGAACACCAGUGGCGAAGGCGAUCUACUGGACAGUAACUGACGCUGAGGCGCGAAAGCGUGGGGAGCAAACAGGAUUAGAUACCCUGGUA
This is a ribosomal RNA of 437 nucleotides. It matches the Rfam family "Bacterial small subunit ribosomal RNA", at positions 341 to 792 of the family's 1533-position model.